RNAcentral lists this ribosomal RNA (253 nucleotides) under uncultured bacterium. Its description in RNAcentral is "partial 16S ribosomal RNA". It matches the Rfam family "Bacterial small subunit ribosomal RNA", at positions 524 to 776 of the family's 1533-position model. The record is from RNAcentral.
UACGGGGGGGGCAAGCGUUGUUCGGAAUUACUGGGCGUAAAGGGCUCGUAGGUGGCCAACUAAGUCAGACGUGAAAUCCCUCAGCUUAACUGGGGAACUGCGUCUGAUACUGGAUGGCUUGAGAUUGGGAGAGGGAUGCGGAAUUCCAGGUGUAGCGGUGAAAUGCGUAGAUAUCUGGAGGAACACCGGUGGCGAAGGCGGCAUCCUGGACCAACACUGACACUGAGGAGCGAAAGCAAGGGGAGCAAACGGG